GCCCAGAGAAGGAAAACAUCUUCCUAGGGUCACACAAGCAGGACUCCAACUCAGAUCCUCUAACUCCAAGACCAGAGGGUCACAGCCCAAGCCCCAGCAGCUCCAAGGCCGGCAGUCUGGGGGCCAGAGUAGAGGCUCAUUAUGCCUAUAGUCACUCAUCCUUUUCUCAAUAGUCCCUGGGGGCUUCGUCUCCCUUCACGACCUCUCCUAGGACCAAGACAGGUCCAAGGCUGGGUGAGUGCUGGCCUCCCCCCUGUGGCCACACUGAGUAACUGCAAAGGGGCCCCAACUGGGAAGCCCCUUCUCCCUCCCUUUCCCCAGGAUGGGAGAAGCCUUAAGGAACAGGGAGUGAGUCCUGCUCCCUCAUUUUACAGAUGGGGAAACUGAGACUUCUAAAGGGGAAGAGAUUUGCCUAAUGUCACACCCUGAGUUAGUGGCAGACCCAGGAUUGAUCAUCUGAUAAUGAGAGCCGGUUUUUAUGGGCCUUAAUGUCUACCCUUUUAACAGACAUUGUCUCACUUGACCUUCAUAAGCAGCCUGAGUAAUUGGAGGGAGUGGGGAGUGCUAUUAUCAUCCUCAUUUUUCAUACAAGAAAACUGAACCUCCGAGAUGAAAAAAACAUCACAGCACAGUGAUAACAUCCUGGAAUUGGAAUCGAGAAAACCAGACUUGAAAUACUGCCUGUGACACUUGCCAGCCAUGUAAAACCUAAAGUGCAGGUGGCAGGUGACCAGUCAAUCAACCAAGAAACAAUUCAGCAAGUAUCUCCUGUGUGCCAGUCACUAAGCUAAACCCAGAGGCUGCAAGGGAAAACCAUGAAACGCUGCAGAAGUGAACACAGACCACAAAAAGCAAAGGACAAAAAAACUCAGGAAAACUAAAGUUCAAAAGAAAAAGAAAAGAAUGAAACAAGCCCUACUCUGAAGGAGCUGACAUUCUAAUGGAAGAGAGUACACAUAAAAAUAUGCACAGCAAAAAUAUGAGGUGGUGAAACACCGGACCUGGAGUCAGGAAGACCU
Molecule: long non-coding RNA, 1019 nt
Organism: Phascolarctos cinereus (koala)
Lineage: Eukaryota; Metazoa; Chordata; Mammalia; Diprotodontia; Phascolarctidae
Source: RefSeq, a predicted model, not a curated record